Molecule: long non-coding RNA, 2301 nt
Filed under: Sus scrofa (pig)
Lineage: Eukaryota; Metazoa; Chordata; Mammalia; Artiodactyla; Suidae
Description: lncRNA (ENSSSCG00035005436.1)
Source: RNAcentral
GGAGAGUAGAGGAAAGACAGGAGAUGGUUGUUGGCAAGGGCAGGGCGACCGUCCGGCCGAGGCCCGACGUGCUGGGCUGGGGGGUGGGCGGUGCCCACUUGAAGUUCAAGGUCAUAAACUUAACUGGAGCCAAUCCAAAUCCACUGCCCAAGCAAAAGCGUAUCUAAGAAAAAGAAAAAUAACUCGAAGCCUCCAAGACACAUAAAAUCCAGAAUGGACUGACAACGGUGAAGAAGGGUAGAGCUUUUCAGAAAGAUGACCCUCGAUUCAGGGCUUAGCCAUUCUUGUACAUGGAGCCAAGUUCAUUUUACCCGCAACUGACUUACAAGUGUCUCAUAACUCUGGACUCGUAACGGACACCACAAAAGCCCGUUCAAUGUCCAGUUGCUGGGAUGAGCCUAGUGGACAAAACGUCAAGCCAAUGGCAUGAGGACUGUGGUUUCAAUCAAGACCUGUCCCCCCAGAGCAGGGCUGCCCCAGCCCAUCCAUCUGGCAUCUCCGAGUCUCGGCAUCUUCUCUGAAAAUGAGAAUCAGAAGGUGUGUGAGCAAAGUUUGUUGUGUUAAUCGAAAAUAUGUUAAUUUUCUGCAUUUCAAUAACUUCAAGCUUAGCCUGAGAACCUUCCAAGCUGUAGAAAACCUCCUUGACUAAGAGUCCACCUGCACAAGGACCUCCGCCUUCUGAACACAAACGAGCUGGAAUAGACCAUAAAGAAGGAGGGGGACCCUGGGGCCAGGAAGCUGGUCCUUCACAAGCAGGUCAGUGGUGGGGAUGCAGCUGGGGGCACAUGACACGAUGACAUUUCAUCUGGGUCUGAAAUACUCAGGCCCAGGCCCCUGAGAGUCCUGCAAACAGCGAAUCAGAAGGACCGCAGAGACUGAACAGGUGGUCCCUGAGCAGGUGGCUCUUGGCUGCUUGGAUGAGGGAGGGGAGAGGAGAGAGAAGAUGCUGGGGGCCACCCCAGGGGCCCUGCGCUGGAGACAGGUCCCGGGGCCCAGACUGUCUCACCCGAGAUGCAUCUUCCAUAACCUCCUUGGCAAGUCAGUCCUGAGCAUGAGCCUAGAGAAACCCCUUCACCAGGCCUGCCGUGGAGAAGGCCCUUCAAAGCCUCCCUCAGAAGAACGAGAAGCAUCCAAUGCUCCAUCAGUGGUGCCAUUACUAAUCAAAUUUAAAAGGAUUAAUGAGGGACCUCCCGUCAUGGCGCAGCGGACACGAAUCCGACUAGGAACCGUAAGGUUGUCGGUUCGAUCCCAGGCCCCGCUCAAUGGGUUAAGGAUCCAGCGUUGCCAUGAGCUGUGGUGUAGGUCGUGGACGCGGCUUGAAUCUGGCGUUACUGUGGCUGUGCCACAAGCUGACAGCUAUAGCUCCGAUAAGACCCCGAGUCUGGGAACCUCCACAUGCUGCAAGUGUGGCCCUAAAAAGACAAAAAGACUAAAAUAAAAUAAAAAUAAAACAAAAUAAAAUAAAAAGUUUAAAAUAAAGUAGGAAAGCCUCUUGGAGGAAAGAAUGAAAGAUCUGUGUUAUAGUGACAAUGACAGAAAUGAAAAGCAUUUUGCCAAGAUUUUGCACCUGUGACAAGCCAGGCCAAGUCACAGACUUCGAAAAGAAUGGGCUCUUUUGGACGGGCGUGUCUGCACACCGAGGUCUAACCACUGGGGCAGUUCUACCCUAUUAGGUGAAGAAGAAACCCCCUCAUCUUGUUGUGGCUUGUGCCGCCCUGCAGGGCUGGGAUUGGGCAGAGAAAGCCUGUGUUUACGUGCGACUUUAAUUUGAUUUACUGUCCCUGACAAGCCCGCCUGAACCCAGCGCUCUGUCUCAGCAGGGUCCCUGCCUCGCCUCUCCUGCUCUGCAAGAACUCGAAAGCAGGAGCUGGCAGGUGGAUGCCGAGGGGGACUUCGCCUCCCUUCAUGCUUGCCCAGGGCAAGUGGAACCAAGCCCGACUGCUUCAGAACCUUUCCUGGGCACGGGCUAAAGGCGCUUGGUGUCACGGUGUCACUGGAGGUGGCCUGAGGGGCAGACAGAUUCACCAGCGAUGGCUGCAUCUUGGGAGCUCAGCUCUGUGAAGCGGCAGUGUCAGCCCCGUGCGAGCUCCCCGCCAUCUGGGGAGGGGACACUGUGCUUGGAAAGUCAGAAGACAGGAAAGCAUCUGCGCCCUCCUCCUCCCGAGGCCCUCAGUGUCCUGCCUCCUCUCUGAGGCUGUCUGUGUUCAAACCUGCCCUGGGCCCUGUCACCGGAACAAAAGAUGGAAUUUCGCAUUUCUACCUCCUCAUUUCCUAGAAUUUCAGCUGCCUUCAUGGUUCUCC